Molecule: long non-coding RNA, 923 nt
Filed under: Salvia miltiorrhiza (redroot sage)
Lineage: Eukaryota; Viridiplantae; Streptophyta; Magnoliopsida; Lamiales; Lamiaceae
Description: long non-coding RNA (SMIL_LNC013413)
Source: RNAcentral
GCGGCAGAACCAUGGCGGCAGCGCCUCGCCGUUGCCAGCAAAGGGAGAUGGAGAGGCAGCUAGCGGUUGUGUCACCGCCGGAGGAAACGAUGGAGGUGGUGACGUCGUGCUGGCCGGAUUUGGUGGGCUGGGGACGAGUUCUCGACGAGAACCAAGGAAAAGAUAGAGAGAGAUCUGAAAUUAAGGAAUUGAAGAGAGGAGGAGGUGUCGGACUUUGGCGAGGUAGAAGCUGACUCGCCGGAUUGUGGAGCGGCGACGGCGGGCGCCUCGGCUGGAGAUGGAUCGAGAGAGAGAGAGAACCGAAGGGAGAGAGAGCUCGACUGAUAUGAGAAAGAGAGAGAGUUUUCGACUGAUCUGGGAGUGAAAGAGAGAGAGGCGAGAUUGGAUUGUGUGGGAGAGAGAAAAGGGAGGACCGAGAGUUGUGAGAGAAAAGAAAUAGAGUGGGCUUGAUUUGGGCCUUUUCAUUUAAUUCUUUGGGCUUGAUUAAUUUUAAUUGUUUGGGCUUUCCUCUAAAUUAUGUGGGCCGAAAUUUUGAGCUUAUUUUUAAUGAAAUUGGGCUUCCAAUUUUAAUUGCUUGGGCUUUCAUAUUUAAAUUCGAAUUGGGCCAGUCUUUUAUUUAAUUGGCUCUUCUCAUUAUUUUUAUUGAGCAUGAAUUAAUUUAAGGAAUUGGGCUUUGUCUUUUAAUUCUUUGGGCUGCUGUAUCAUAUCAACUGAGCCGAGUUUUAUUUAAUUUUAAGCUCAGAAUAAUUCAUUCUAUUCUUGGGCUAAUUUUAAAUUAUGGAUUGAAAUUUUAUUUAGUUGGGCCUUACAUGAUUUAUUUAAUUGAGCCCAACUAUUCAUUAUUUAAUCAUUUGGGCCAAGAUUUAUUUAAUUACUAAGCCCAAUGAAUUAUUUCAAUUGGACCUUUCAUUUUAGCUAUCCAG